Molecule: ribosomal RNA, 520 nt
Filed under: uncultured bacterium
Lineage: Bacteria
Description: bacterial SSU rRNA
Rfam family: Bacterial small subunit ribosomal RNA
Source: RNAcentral
AGAGUUUGAUCCUGGCUCAGGAUGAACGCUAGCUACAGGCUAACACAUGCAAGUCGCGGGGCAGCAUGUCGGUUGCUUGCAACCGGCGAUGGCGACCGGCGCACGGGUGAGUAACGCGUAUCCAACCUUCCCCUUAGUAGCGGAUAGCCCGGCGAAAGUCGGAUUAAUACGCUAUGUUCUCCGAAGCAGGCAUCUAGCUUGGAGCAAAGGCUUGCCGCUAAGGGAUGGGGAUGCGUCCGAUUAGCCAGCCGGCGGGGUAACGGCCCACCGGGGCGACGAUCGGUAGGGGUUCUGAGAGGAAGGUCCCCCACACUGGUACUGAGACACGGACCAGACUCCUACGGGAGGCAGCAGUGAGGAAUAUUGGUCAAUGGGCGAGAGCCUGAACCAGCCAAGUAGCGUGCAGGACGACGGCCCUACGGGUUGUAAACUGCUUUUAUGCGGGGAUAAAGUCCACUACGUGUAGUGGUUUGCAGGUACCGCAUGAAUAAGGACCGGCUAAUUCCGUGCCAGCAGCGGC